GACGAACGCUGGCGGCGUGCUUAACACAUGCAAGUCGAACGGAAAGGCCCUGCUUUUGCUGGGUGCUCGAGUGGCGAACGGGUGAGUAACACGUGAGUAACCCGCCCUUGACUUUGGGAUAACUUCAGGAAACUGGGGCUAAUACCGGAUAGGAGCUCCUGCUGCAUGGUGGGGGUUGGAAAGUUUCGGCGGUUGGGGCUGUACUCGCUGCUUAUCCGCUUGUUGGUGGGGUAGUGGCUUACAAAGGCUUUGACGGGUAGCCGGCCUGAGAGGGUGACCGGGCACCUGGGGACUGAGGUACGGACCAGACUCCUACGGGCGGCAGCAGUGGGAAAUAUUGCACAAUGGGCGGACGCCUGAUGCAGCAACGCCGCGUGCGGGAUGACGGCCUUCGGGUUGUAAACCGCUUUCGCCUGUGACGAAGCGUGAGUGACGGUAAUGGGUAAAGAAGCACCGGCUAACUACGUG
RNAcentral lists this ribosomal RNA (468 nucleotides) under uncultured bacterium. RNAcentral's name for it is "partial 16S ribosomal RNA". It matches the Rfam family "Bacterial small subunit ribosomal RNA", at positions 28 to 507 of the family's 1533-position model. The record is from RNAcentral.